Corvus hawaiiensis (hawaiian crow) is the source of this 2562-nucleotide long non-coding RNA. RefSeq lists it as uncharacterized. The record is from RefSeq and is a predicted model, not a curated record. The transcript has 2 exons. NCBI's taxonomy places the organism in Eukaryota, Metazoa, Chordata, Aves, Passeriformes, Corvidae.
GAAGUCAAGAGAAAAAAAAAAUUAUAUCUUAGAAAGCAGAAUUAAAAAUACCAUUAAAACAAUUAAUGCCAAAGGAAAAUACCAUUUAAAAGCUACAUUUACAUCUGGAUUUUUUUUUUGAUGCUUUCUCUGAGGUUCUGUCAAGAAGUAAAUCAAUAAUAAUUACACACACAAAAUGACCAGCAGACUUGCAACUGAACCAUCAGGAUUUUCCCAUUCCUGAACUAUGCAGCCGUGUAAUCACAUUACUGUAACUCUUGUACCUCAUGUCUCGGCCUUGCUGUGCCUUCCAGCAUCGGGUCCGAGUGCACCACAGGCCGUUCCAACUGGGGGACUCUGGCUUCUACUUGCCUGGCUGGGCUUCCAGAAAAUUGCAUUUUGUCUCUGUGGCAGAGAACCCACGAGCUGGCCACUUUGCCAUCCCUGCUGCUUGCCAUCGGGAGCUCACUGAUGCUUGAUGUGCUGGGAGCCAUAUGGCCACUUCUCGCUGCUCUCCCUCUUGCUGCUCCCCCGAAAGUUGCAAGUGCAGAAGAGCCAGCUGCCAACACCAAGGACAAACAGGGGCUUUGUCCACGAGAGGGACGGUGAUGGGGACAAACCUUUGACUGUACCUCAGCUUCCCCUCAAGACAUUUUCCUCCCAGCUAUCUCUUGUCCUUAGAUUUUCUGUAAUAUGCAUAUGUUCCUCCCUUCUGUUUUGUUUUUUUUAAUAAUUUUUUUGUACAUCUCUUAUUGCUUAGUCUGUAAACUAAAGUUGCUAGUUAAUAUGCAGAUUAUUUGUAACUGCAAAUCAAUUCAUUUGAUAAUUGGCAUAAAAAUGUUACACAUGGAGCAGCACAAAACUUGGCAGCAGUAGGCAGGAGGUGGUUUCGGUGCCUAAUCCCCACCAGGCACAUGGGUUAAGGUGUUUACUUGCGCCAUUUGUGUGGGAAGGAGCAGCCUUGCCUGUUCAUGUGGAAACUCCUAAUUGCUUUCUUUGUUUUGACAGAUUUAUGGGUUACAACAAAACAUAAUUGCAAGUAACAUAACAAAGUAACACUCUCAUGAGCACCUGUAGUGUUGCUAUUAUAAAUAGAACUACUAAUGUACAGUGUUGGUUAUUGUAAAAGUACAUUCAGCUGAAGUUCUCAAUUUUUCUUGCUGUGCACAUUGUGCUCUUGGUCUUCCACUUAAGUUUGCAGGAGAAUUUCUCAGUCUUCAGCCCAGACAGGUAACAUCUGUUGCCUCACUUUUCUCAUCUGUUGUUCAACAUUGAAAUGGUUAAUAAUGUGCUAGAGGCAAGUGAGUACCUGGUAACCUGUUACUUGUCCUGAAGUUCCACUCUCAUGAUUGAAAUUAAUCCCUGGGUUUUUGGAGAAUGCUCUGCUUUGUGAGGAUGUCCUCUGCAAAAGGGUGUUGCACUGUAAGACAGAAUAAAGUAAAAUUGUGCCUGUGGCAGCUGAGGAAGUUACAUGUCUGCGUGCUCUGCAACACUCACAAAGAGAGCUUUGGAUCCUCUGAGGUGUUCCCUUAGCUGGUGUGACUGUUGAGGGGUGUCAGGUGGAUAAACAAGGGAAGGGACCAUGACCUAAGGUUGGAAGAGGUCAUGGAGAUUGGUAUUUAGACACUUCUGCUGUCUGCCUGCUUCACGUACUGACUUUUCUUUUGUGGUGGUUGACAAAUUAUCCUAUUUCUUUGAGUCUUGGUAUCUUUCUCUAUAAAUUGAAAAUGUUUCUGUAUUUAAGAAAAGACAUUUGCCUGGCAGAAUGCUGUAGGAACAAAGACUUUUGCAGGCACUGAAAAAGCUCCUCAUAUCAGGUAUGCUGAGGAUUUAGCAAAUACAUAUUACAUUUGUUCUAAAACUAUAUACAAAUAUAGCACCUCAAGUAACUGAUGAAUAGCUGUGCUUAUUAGAAAAAUAAAGAAAAAGAAAAUGAGCCUGUUCAAGAGAGCAAGCUGUUCUCUGAGUUACAACUAUCUAGUUCUGUCUUCACUGUACACUGCUCCGGGAAGGCUUUGCAAACCUGGCUUCUUCCUGGUCUGUUCUGCACACCUGAGCUGCAGAGUGGUCUGUGCACUCCCUGGUCUCCCACCGUCCCUGUCCCUGUGUAGCCCCCGUUGGGAGAGACAGAUAGAGGGGAUGUGAAACUGGGGUUCAAGCUUUUAGAGAUUAGAGAUGAAGUAGCAUUCCUUUGAAAAGACCUGGAUAAUGUCUGUGUUUGCAUUUAUAGUAUGUUACAGGAUUAUUUUCCAGAGGUCAGAUGUCAAGACUGGUUUGUGUACGGAGAAUAAGAGAGAAAUUUUGAUUAAGUCUGAUAAGGCUGGGCGUGGUGUUCCCCCCUUACACUAUUUUACAGAACCGUUUUUCCCUUUUAUUUUUUAACAUGUAGAUUCUUUUUAAUUCUCAUAGCUCUAUGCCAUUUUGCUUAAUAUCUCAUAAGAGCUAGCAAAGAUAUGUACAUGUUAGUAUGAUGAAAGCUACAUGUUUUAUACCCACGUUAAAAACUGAAUUAUGCUGGUAUUGAAAAUUGUCUGUUGAAAAUGCAAUGCAAACCCUGAAUAAAUUCUGCAGUUGCAAAUCAUA